RNAcentral lists this ribosomal RNA (468 nucleotides) under uncultured bacterium. RNAcentral describes it as "partial 16S ribosomal RNA". It matches the Rfam family "Bacterial small subunit ribosomal RNA", at positions 28 to 507 of the family's 1533-position model. The record is from RNAcentral.
GACGAACGCUGGCGGCGUGCUUAACACAUGCAAGUCGAACGGAAAGGCCCUGCUUUUGUGGGGUGCUCGAGUGGCGAACGGGUGAGUAACACGUGAGUAACCUGCCCUUGACUUUGGGAUAACUUCAGGAAACUGGGGCUAAUACCGGAUAGGAGCUUCUGCUGCACGGUGGUGGUUGGAAAGUUUCGGCGGUUGGGGAUGGACUCGCGGCUUAUCAGCUUGUUGGUGGGGUAGUGGCUUACCAAGGCUUUGACGGGUAGCCGACCUGAGAGGGUGACCGGCCACAAUGGGACUGAGAUACGGCCCAGACUCCUACGGGAGGCAGCAGGGGGGAAUAUUGCACAAUGGGCGGAAGCCUGAUGCAGCAACGCCGCGUGCGGGAUGACGGCCUUCGGGUUGUAAACCGCUUUCGCCUGUGACGAAGCGGGAGUGACGGUAAUGGGUAAAGAAGCACCGGCUAACUACGUG